Molecule: ribosomal RNA, 393 nt
Filed under: uncultured bacterium
Lineage: Bacteria
Description: bacterial SSU rRNA
Rfam family: Bacterial small subunit ribosomal RNA
Source: RNAcentral
GGACGAACGCUGGCGGCGUGCUUAACACAUGCAAGUCGAGCGGUAAGGCCCUUUCGGGGGUACACGAGCGGCGAACGGGUGAGUAACACGUGGGUGACCUGCCCUCAGCUCUGGGAUAAGCCUGGGAAACCGGGUCUAAUACUGGAUAUGACUCCAUGACGCAUGUUGUGGGGUGGAAAGCCUUGUGCGGCUGAGGAUGGGCCCGCGGCCUAUCAGCUUGUUGGUGGGGUGAGGCCUACCAAGGCGACGACGGGUAGCCGGCCUGAGAGGGCGACCGGCCACACUGGGACUGAGACACGGCCCAGACUCCUACGGGAGGCAGCAGUGGGGAAUCUUGCGCAAUGGGCGAAAGCCUGACGCAGCGACGCCGCGUGAGGGAUGACGGCCUCGGUU